RNAcentral lists this ribosomal RNA (847 nucleotides) under uncultured fungus. Its description in RNAcentral is "eukaryotic LSU rRNA". The stretch from base 1 to 241 matches the Rfam family "Eukaryotic small subunit ribosomal RNA", at positions 1593 to 1831 of the family's 1831-position model. The record is from RNAcentral. Lineage: Eukaryota; Fungi.
UUGCUCUUCAACGAGGAAUACCUAGUAAGCGUGAGUCAUCAGCUCGCGUUGAUUACGUCCCUGCCCUUUGUACACACCGCCCGUCGCUACUACCGAUUGAAUGGCUUAGUGAGGUCUUGGGAUUGGCUUCGGGGAGCCGGCAACGGCACCUUGUUGCUGAGAACUUGAUCAAACUUGGUCAUUUAGAGGAAGUAAAAGUCGUAACAAGGUUUCCGUAGGUGAACCUGCGGAAGGAUCAUUAUCGAGUUUUUUGAACGGGUUGUCGCUGGCCUCUCACGGGGCAUGUGCACGCCUGGCUCAUCCACUCUCAACCUCUGUGCACUUUAUGUAAGAAACGGUGGACUUAUUGGCUCUUUGAGUCGGUAAGAAAGCCUUUCUUAUGUUUAUUACAAACGUUUCAGUUAUAGAAUGUUUACUGUGUAUAACACAAUAUAUACAACUUUCAGCAACGGAUCUCUUGGCUCUCGCAUCGAUGAAGAACGCAGCGAAAUGCGAUAAGUAAUGUGAAUUGCAGAAUUCAGUGAAUCAUCGAAUCUUUGAACGCACCUUGCGCUCCUUGGUAUUCCGAGGAGCAUGCCUGUUUGAGUGUCAUGGAAUUCUCAACUCCCUAUUUUUAUUAAUGGGCGAGCUUGGACUUGGAGGUCGUGUCGGCUCUCGUAGUCGACUCCUCUUAAAUGUAUUAGCGUGAAUCUUACGGAUCGCCUUCAGUGUGAUAAUUAUCUGCGCUGUGGUGUUGAAGUAUUUAUAGUUCGUGCUUACAAUCGUCUCUUACGGGACAACUUUGACAAUCUGACCUCAAAUCAGGUAGGACUACCCGCUGAACUUAAGCAUAUCAAUAAGCGGAGGA